UACGUAGGGUGCGAGCGUUGUCCGGAUUCACUGGGUGUAAAGGGAGCGCAGGCGGAUUGACAAGUCAUUGGUGAAAUUCUCAGGCUCAACUUGAGGACGUCCAAUGAUACUGUCAAUCUUGAGUGCGGAAGAGGAAGACGGAAUUCCUGGUGUAGCGGUGAAAUGCGUAGAUAUCAGGAAGAACACCGGUGGCGAAGGCGGUCUUCUGGUCCGCUACUGACGCUCAUGCUCGAAAGCGUGGGGAGCAAAC
This 250-nucleotide ribosomal RNA is filed under the name uncultured bacterium. RNAcentral describes it as "partial 16S ribosomal RNA". It matches the Rfam family "Bacterial small subunit ribosomal RNA", at positions 524 to 773 of the family's 1533-position model. The record is from RNAcentral.